UACGUAGGGGGCGAGCGUUGUCCGGAAUCAUUGGGCGUAAAGCGCGUGUAGGCGGCUCGGUAAGUCCGGUGUGAAACCUUGGGGCUCAACCCCAAGCCUGCACUGGAUACUGUCGAGCUUGAGUCCGGGAGGGGAGAGCGGAAUUCCUAGUGUAGCGGUGAAAUGCGCAGAUAUCAGGAAGAACACCCGUGGCUAAGGCGGCUCUCUAGUACGGUACUGACGCUGAGACGCGAAAGCGUGGGGAGCGAACAGG
RNAcentral lists this ribosomal RNA (253 nucleotides) under uncultured bacterium. RNAcentral's name for it is "partial 16S ribosomal RNA". It matches the Rfam family "Bacterial small subunit ribosomal RNA", at positions 524 to 776 of the family's 1533-position model. The record is from RNAcentral.